AGAUAACUUAAGCCCAUAUUUGCAAGAAGAUGUGGAAAAAAAAAUCGCUUUCCUAAUGACAGUAAUCUUUGGCAAUGUUACAUAUCACAGGAGGGGAGAUCAGUCGGUCUCUGAGCAUCACCAGCUGAAUGACAAAUAGCUUCCCAAAAAUUACCCAGGAAGUGACAGAGUUCACCACACAAGAGAAAUGUAACAGAGCAUUUAACUAAGUGGUCAAGGAAGAUUCCUCGCAGAAAACUUGAAUAACCUGAAAAGUAAGAAAACGCUACAGGAUGCAGUCAAAUGACACAGUAAGACUACGCUUCAAAAAGCCACCUGAACAACUGAAGCAUGAAAAACUCAUUUUCAGGAUGCCAACAGAAUGCUUGAUUGCUGACUGAACGGCUGUCUAAUCUUCAUUUUCCUUGCUGUCACAAGAUAAAACACUUAUGAAUCUACAAACCACUGUCACCUAGAGGAAAAAGUGCAGUCAAUAGGAA
Long non-coding RNA from Stegostoma tigrinum, 479 nucleotides. RefSeq lists it as uncharacterized. The transcript has 3 exons. Lineage: Eukaryota; Metazoa; Chordata; Chondrichthyes; Orectolobiformes; Stegostomatidae. The record is from RefSeq and is a predicted model, not a curated record.